RNAcentral lists this long non-coding RNA (856 nucleotides) under Malus domestica (apple). RNAcentral's name for it is "long non-coding RNA (MDOM_LNC017977)". Lineage: Eukaryota; Viridiplantae; Streptophyta; Magnoliopsida; Rosales; Rosaceae. The record is from RNAcentral.
CGUAUAUACCUAUAUACUUGAGUUUUUCCCAGAAAAUGAAUUUGAAUGAUUAUACGUUUUGAAAUGCCAUGCAAAGUAUAUGUCUAUUUUAUUAUGCAUUAGUAGUUGCAUAUAUUUAUGAUUGGUACUGCGGACGCACGAGUAAGUGUCAGGUAAGUUCAUAAAUUAAAGAUAUGAGGUUACUUCAGUUAUGUGAGAUAUGAUGUGAUGUAUUGAGAGCUCAUAAACCUGCACCCCGGUGUUAGUGCUCCCACCCAGAGUUAGGGCACAGUCAUUCACGUGAUGUUCACCUCCCGCACCAUAUGCUCACCUUGGAUCCAAGUUAGGGGCACAGGCUUGUCGUACAUACCACUUUAGGUGGUUUCGACUUGUAGGUGACCUGCGAUUAUUCGCACAGCCUUCACGUGAUCGGAGCACUAUAGCACAUUUACUUUACACCUAGUCUUGUCGUCCAGACCACUUUAAGUGGUUCUGACUCAUGUGCAAGAUUUGAUUUGAUAUGAUUGAGAUUGGUUAUGAGCUCUAUAUAUAUAUAUAUAUAUAUAUAUAUAUAUAUAUAUUCAGCCGUGCAUAUUAAGUUAGAGGGAUUUGGCUGAUGCGGUAUCUGGCAUUGAUAUAUUUGUCUGGAUUACUUAUGGCAUUGCAUUGAGAUACUUUGGCAUGGUAUACUUUUAUGGAUUUUCAUCUUGAGUAUGAUUUCUGAUACGGCUUAUUAUUACUAGGGCUGGAAAAAAAUCCCAAAAAUACCAAACCAAAAAUCUCGAAAAUUUUGGUACAAAUCCCAAACUGAUCCCGAACCGUUCGGUACAUGAAUCGGUCUUAUAUUUUUCUUUGUUCGGGAAUCCAAACCGAUAUA